This 508-nucleotide ribosomal RNA is filed under the name uncultured bacterium. Its description in RNAcentral is "partial 16S ribosomal RNA". The record is from RNAcentral.
GGAGUUAGCCGGUGCUUCUUCUGUGAGUGAUGUCCUUCCUGCCGGCUAUUAACCCGCAGGCCUUCUUCCUCACUGAAAGUGCUUUACAACCCGAAGGCCUUCUUCACACACGCGGCAUGGCUGGAUCAGGGUUGCCCCCAUUGUCCAAUAUUCCCCACUGCUGCCUCCCGUAGGAGUCUGGGCCGUGUCUCAGUCCCAGUGUGGCUGAUCAUCCUCUCAGACCAGCUACGGAUCGUCGCCUUGGUGAGCCGUUACCUCACCAACCAGCUAAUCCGACAUAGGCUCAUCCGAUAGCGCGAGGCCCGAAGGUCCCCCGCUUUCCCCCGUAGGGCGUAUGCGGUAUUAGCCUGGGGUUUCCCCAGGUUAUCCCCCACUACCGGGCAGAUUCCUAUGCAUUACUCACCCGUCCGCCGCUCGCCACCAGGGAGCAAGCUCCCCGUGCUGCCGCUCGACUUGCAUGUGUUAGGCCUGCCGCCAGCGUUCAAUCUGAGCCAUAAUCAAACUCUGA